UCCAGAUGUGGUGGCACACAUCUGUAAUCCCAGCUACUUGGGUGACUGAGGCUGCAGAAUUUCUUGAGCCAAGGAGUUCUAGGUUAGCUUGGGCAAUAUAGUGAGACCCUGUCUCAA
Molecule: small RNA, 117 nt
Filed under: Marmota monax (woodchuck)
Lineage: Eukaryota; Metazoa; Chordata; Mammalia; Rodentia; Sciuridae
Source: RNAcentral